Molecule: unclassified non-coding RNA, 395 nt
Filed under: soil metagenome
Description: partial contains 5.8S ribosomal RNA, internal transcribed spacer 2, and large subunit ribosomal RNA
Rfam family: 5.8S ribosomal RNA (bases 1-122)
Source: RNAcentral
GAUGAAGAACGUAGUGAAAUGCGAUACUUGGUGUGAAUUGCAGAAUCCCGUGAACCAUCGAGUCUUUGAACGCAAGUUGCGCCCGAAGCCAUCAGGUUGAGGGCACGUCUGCCUGGGCGUCACAUAUCGUUGCCCAAUGCCUAUUGCAGUGCAAUAGGAAUUUCUAGGGCGAAUGAUGGCUUCCCGUGUGCGUUGUUGCCUCGCGGUUGGUUGAAAAUCGAGUCCUUGGUAGGGUGUGCCAUGGUAGAUGGUGGUCGAGUUAGAACGAUACCGAUCAUGUGCAUGCUCCCCAAAAUAUGGCCUCUAUGACCCACACGCGUCUUUUGACGCUCAUGACGAGACCUCAGGUCAGGCGGGGCUACCCGCUGAAUUUAAGCAUAUCAAUAAGCGGAGGA